GAUGAACGCUGGCGGCGUGCUUAACACAUGCAAGUCGAACGGAAAGGCCCAAGCUUGCUUGGGUGCUCGAGUGGCGAACGGGUGAGUAACACGUGGGUGAUCUGCCCUGCACUUUGGGAUAAGCCUGGGAAACUGGGUCUAAUACCGGAUAGGACCAUCGUUUAGUGUCGGUGGUGGAAAGUUUUUCGGUGUGGGAUGAGCUCGCGGCCUAUCAGCUUGUUGGUGGGGUAAUGGCCUACCAAGGCGUCGACGGGUAGCCGGCCUGAGAGGGUGUACGGCCACAUUGGGACUGAGAUACGGCCCAGACUCCUACGGGAGGCAGCAGUGGGGAAGAUUGCACAAGGGGCGCAAGCCUGAUGCAGCGACGCCGCGUGGGGGAGGACGGCCUUCGGGUUGUAAACUCCUUUCGCCAAGGACGAAGCGUUUUGUGACGGUACUUGGAGAAGAAGCACCGGCUAACUACGUG
RNAcentral lists this ribosomal RNA (466 nucleotides) under uncultured bacterium. Its description in RNAcentral is "partial 16S ribosomal RNA". It matches the Rfam family "Bacterial small subunit ribosomal RNA", at positions 28 to 507 of the family's 1533-position model. The record is from RNAcentral.